ACAUCAGUACAGGUGGUGCAUGGCUGUCGUCAGCUCGUGUCGUGAGAUGUUGGGUUAAGUCCCGCAACAAGCGCAACCCUUGUCUUUAGUUGCCAUCAUUAAGUUGGGCACUCUAAAGAGACUGCCGGUGUCAAACCGGAGGAAGGUGGGGAUGACGUCAAGUCCUCAUGGCCUUUAUGACCAGGGCUACACACGUACUACAAUGGCAGGUACAAAGGGCAGCCACUUAGCGAUAAGGCGCGAAUCCCGUAAAACCUAGUCUCAGUCCGGAUUGGAGUCUGCAACUCGACUCCAUGAAGUUGGAAUCGCUAGUAAUCGCAGAUCAGCACGCUGCGGUGAAUACGUUCCCGGGCCUU
This 356-nucleotide ribosomal RNA is filed under the name uncultured Desulfocapsa sp. RNAcentral's name for it is "bacterial SSU rRNA". It matches the Rfam family "Bacterial small subunit ribosomal RNA", at positions 1026 to 1382 of the family's 1533-position model. The record is from RNAcentral. Lineage: Bacteria; Pseudomonadati; Thermodesulfobacteriota; Desulfobulbia; Desulfobulbales; Desulfocapsaceae.